RNAcentral lists this ribosomal RNA (472 nucleotides) under Asca sp. 2 NFS-2015. RNAcentral describes it as "SSU rRNA". It matches the Rfam family "Eukaryotic small subunit ribosomal RNA", at positions 557 to 1035 of the family's 1831-position model. The record is from RNAcentral. Lineage: Eukaryota; Metazoa; Arthropoda; Arachnida; Mesostigmata; Ascidae.
AAGUCUGGUGCCAGCAGCCGCGGUAAUUCCAGCUCCAAUAGCGUAUAUUAAAAUUGUUGCGUCUAAAAAGCUCGUAGUUUGAAAACUUGCCUUAGCUUACAAUCGACCCUUUCGGGGUCACCGUUUGUUGGGAGCAAAUAUGGAUGAUUGUAUUCGCCGACUUAAUUGUUUGGCUUAUAAACGUCAUCAAAUAUCACUUUGAUUAAAUUAGAGUGCUUAAAGCAAGUGUGUUACUUGGAUAUAAAUGCAUGGAAUGAUGGAAUAUGUUGUUGUUCUAUUUGUUGGUUUUUUGAACGAUGAAAUGAUUGAAAGGAACUGUUGGGGGCAUUCGUAUUGUUGUGAGAGAGGUGAAAUUCUUAGACCACAGCAAGACGAACUACUGCGAAAGCAUUUGCCAAGAAUGUUUUCAUUGAUCAAGAACGAAAGUUAGAGGUUCGAAGGCGAUCAGAUACCGCCCUAGUUCUAACCAUAA